This 467-nucleotide ribosomal RNA is filed under the name uncultured bacterium. RNAcentral's name for it is "bacterial SSU rRNA". It matches the Rfam family "Bacterial small subunit ribosomal RNA", at positions 355 to 825 of the family's 1533-position model. The record is from RNAcentral.
UGAGGAAUAUUGGACAAUGGGCGCAAGCCUGAUCCAGCCAUGCCGCGUGCAGGAUGAUGGUCCUAUGGAUUGUAAACUGCUUUUGUACAGGAAGAAACAGUUCUACGUGUAGAACCUUGACGGUACUGUAAGAAUAAGGAUCGGCUAACUCCGUGCCAGCAGCCGCGGUAAUACGGAGGAUCCAAGCGUUAUCCGGAAUCAUUGGGUUUAAAGGGUCCGUAGGCGGUUAGAUAAGUCAGUGGUGAAAGCCCAUCGCUCAACGGUGGAACGGCCAUUGAUACUGUCUGACUUGAAUUAUUAGGAAGUAACUAGAAUAUGUAGUGUAGCGGUGAAAUGCUUAGAGAUUACAUGGAAUACCAAUUGCGAAGGCAGGUUACUACUAAUGGAUUGACGCUGAUGGACGAAAGCGUGGGUAGCGAACAGGAUUAGAUACCCUCGUAGUCCCUGAGCGGGCUGGCAAGGCGCAU